This 314-nucleotide ribosomal RNA is filed under the name uncultured eukaryote. RNAcentral describes it as "partial 18S ribosomal RNA". It matches the Rfam family "Eukaryotic small subunit ribosomal RNA", at positions 1470 to 1796 of the family's 1831-position model. The record is from RNAcentral.
CCCUUAGAUGUUCUGGGCCGUACGCGCGCUACAAUGGCAGACUCAGCGAGUUACCUCUGUCGAAAGGCACAGGGAAUCUUUACAGUAUCUGCCGUGAUGGGGAUAGACCCUUGUAAUUUUUGGUCUUCAACGAGGAAUUCCUAGUAAACGCAAGUCAUUAACUUGCAUUGAUUACGUCCCUGCCCUUUGUACACACCGCCCGUCGCACCUACCGAUUGAAUGGUCCGGUGAAGUCCUCGGACCCAGUUGAACCUCGAGUUGAACAGGGAAAGUUGACUAAAUCUUACCAUUUAGAGGAAGGUGGAGUCGUAACA